Molecule: small RNA, 41 nt
Filed under: Arabidopsis thaliana (thale cress)
Lineage: Eukaryota; Viridiplantae; Streptophyta; Magnoliopsida; Brassicales; Brassicaceae
Description: ATSL106470
Source: RNAcentral
UUCUUUCUUGUGCUUAUGCUGGAACUGGAAAUGUCCUAAAG